This is a long non-coding RNA of Centruroides sculpturatus (bark scorpion), 649 nucleotides long. RefSeq lists it as uncharacterized. The transcript is spliced from 3 exons. The record is from RefSeq and is a predicted model, not a curated record. Lineage: Eukaryota; Metazoa; Arthropoda; Arachnida; Scorpiones; Buthidae.
CGGAGAGUUCAGUCUGAUAUUUCAAAUCUGCUACAUGUUCUUUAAGUCUCAAUUUUAAUUUUCGUUUCGUUUCUCCUAUGUAGAACUUGGUACCAUUACAGAAUCUCAGUAUUUCUCUUGUUGAUAUGACUUCUGCAAUAGAUUUUGGUAGGGAUAAAUGUGUAAGCUGUAUAAAUAUGUAUUCGUCCAUGAUACCCAGUUUAUAAAUAAUCCCGAGUUGGCUGAAGAGGAGCAUGUUACAUCCGAAAUCAACUGAACUAAAGAUGAUAGAACUCCAAGUGUUGGAAUUUAUUACACUACAUAGUGCGUAAAGAAUGAAAGAGGAGUCACAGCACGGUUUCAGAUUAUUAUUAAUAAUCUAUCGGUUGUUUGGUAUUAUGUUUCGAGUUCAAGUGCAUCAUGCGAUUGUUUAAGACCAGGAUAAAACCAGUAAACACUGGUUGGUCGUUGAUUCGCACCUCACCAAUGGGAAUGCCUUUUGGAUAUUUUAACGUGUGUAAGCACUACAACAGAUACCAGUAUCCUAUAUUUUCAUGCACUAAACAUUUUCAUGCACUAAACACUUCAAUAUGUGCCAUUUUUUUAAAUAGAAAGUCCUCUCUACUGUAUGGCAUAUUGUCACGUGUUAUUUAGCCAUAUUCCAUCAAAA